GCAUUAGCUAGUUGGUAAGGUAACGGCUUACCAAGGCGAUGAUGCAUAGCCGAGUUGAGAGACUGAUCGGCCACAAUGGAACUGAGACACGGUCCAUACUCCUACGGGAGGCAGCAGUAGGGAAUCUUCCACAAUGGGCGCAAGCCUGAUGGAGCAACACCGCGUGAGUGAAGAAGGGUUUCGGCUCGUAAAGCUCUGUUGUUGGAGAAGAACGUGCGUGAGAGUAACUGUUCACGCAGUGACGGUAUCCAACCAGAAAGUCACGGCUAACUACGUGCCAGCAGCCGCGGUAAUACGUAGGUGGCAAGCGUUAUCCGGAUUUAUUGGGCGUAAAGCGAGCGCAGGCGGUUGCUUAGGUCUGAUGUGAAAGCCUUCGGCUUAACCGAAGAAGUGCAUCGGAAACCGGGCGACUUGAGUGCAGAAGAGGACAGUGGAACUCCAUGUGUAGCGGUGGAAUGCGUAGAUAUAUGGAAGAACACCAGUGGCGAAGGCGGCUGUCUGGUCUGCAACUGACGCUGAGGCUCGAAAGCAUGGGUAGCGAACAGGAUUAGAUACCCUGGUAGUCCAUGCCGU
Molecule: ribosomal RNA, 573 nt
Filed under: uncultured bacterium
Lineage: Bacteria
Description: bacterial SSU rRNA
Rfam family: Bacterial small subunit ribosomal RNA
Source: RNAcentral